UAUGUAGGGGGCAAGCGUUGUCCGGAUUUAUUGGGCGUAAAGAGCGUGUAGGCGGCUAGGUAGGUCCGUUGUGAAAACUCGAGGCUCAACCUCGAGACGCCGGUGGAAACCAUCUAGCUAGAGUCCGGAAGAGGAGAGUGGAAUUCCUGGUGUAGCGGUGAAAUGCGCAGAUAUCAGGAAGAACACCCGUGGCGAAGGCGGCUCUCUGGGACGUGACUGACGCUGAGACGCGAAAGCGUGGGGAGCAAACAGG
This 253-nucleotide ribosomal RNA is filed under the name uncultured bacterium. RNAcentral's name for it is "partial 16S ribosomal RNA". It matches the Rfam family "Bacterial small subunit ribosomal RNA", at positions 524 to 776 of the family's 1533-position model. The record is from RNAcentral.